RNAcentral lists this small nucleolar RNA (107 nucleotides) under Theobroma cacao (cacao). Its description in RNAcentral is "Plant small nucleolar RNA R71". It matches the Rfam family "Plant small nucleolar RNA R71". From Rfam's summary of the family: R71 is a member of the C/D box family of snoRNAs containing the C (UGAUGA) and D (CUGA) box motifs. Multiple nearly identical copies of this snoRNA have been identified in Arabidopsis, and it is thought to function as a 2'-O-ribose methylation guide for 18S ribosomal RNA. The record is from Rfam by way of RNAcentral. Lineage: Eukaryota; Viridiplantae; Streptophyta; Magnoliopsida; Malvales; Malvaceae.
AUACCAUGAUGAGGACAAUGCCUAAGCAAUUUUUUGUAUCUUUCGCAAGCUUCAUACAAUGAUUCCGAAUCUUGUUGCAUGAAUGAUGUGAUGUCAUUCCGUAUUUU